AUUGAACGCUGGCGGCAUGCCUUACACAUGCAAGUCGAACGGCAGCAUGGGUGCUUGCACCUGAUGGCGAGUGGCGAACGGGUGAGUAAUGCAUCGGAACGUACCCGGAAGUGGGGGAUAACGUAGCGAAAGUUACGCUAAUACCGCAUAUUCUGUGAGCAGGAAAGCGGGGGAUCGCAAGACCUCGCGCUUCCGGAGCGGCCGAUGUCGGAUUAGCUAGUUGGCGGGGUAAAGGCUCACCAAGGCGACGAUCUGUAGCGGGUCUGAGAGGAUGAUCCGCCACACUGGGACUGAGACACGGCCCAGACUCCUACGGGAGGCAGCAGUGGGGAAUUUUGGACAAUGGGCGAAAGCCUGAUCCAGCCAUGCCGCGUGAGUGAAGAAGGC
This 387-nucleotide ribosomal RNA is filed under the name uncultured bacterium. RNAcentral describes it as "bacterial SSU rRNA". It matches the Rfam family "Bacterial small subunit ribosomal RNA", at positions 29 to 415 of the family's 1533-position model. The record is from RNAcentral.